CAAUCAAACCGGGAGAUAGCUGGUUCUCCCCGAAAGCUAUUUAGGUAGCGCCUCGUGAAUUCAUCUCCGGGGGUAGAGCACUGUUUCGGCUAGGGGGCCAUCCCGGCUUACCAACCCGAUGCAAACUGCGAAUACCGGAGAAUGUUAUCACGGGAGACACACGGCGGGUGCUAACGUCCGUCGUGAAGAGGGAAACAACCCAGACCGCCAGCUAAGGUCCCAAAGUCAUGGUUAAGUGGGAAACGAUGUGGGAAGGCCCAGACAGCCAGGAUGUUGGCUUAGAAGCAGCCAUCAUUUAAAGAAAGCGUAAUAGCUCACUGGUCGAGUCGGCCUGCGCGGAAGAUGUAACGGGGCUAAACCAUGCACCGAAGCUGCGGCAGCGAACGUAUCACCCAAGACAACUUUACGGAGUUGACGAUUGACGGAGCGAAGCGACGUCAAAGCGUUCAUUAAAGUCGAGUUGGCUUAGGGAUACGUUCGUUGGGUAGGGGAGCGUUCUGUAAGCCUGUGAAGGUGUGUCGUGAGGCAUGCUGGAGGUAUCAGAAGUGCGAAUGCUGACAUAAGUAACGAUAAAGCGGGUGAAAAGCCCGCUCGCCGGAAGACCAAGGGUUCCUGUCCAACGUUAAUCGGGGCAGGGUGAGUCGACCCCUAAGGCGAGGCCGAAAGGCGUAGUCGAUGGGAAACGGGUUAAUAUUCCCGUACUUGGUGUUACUGCGAAGGGGGGACGGAGAAGGCUAUGUUGGCCGGGCGACGGUUGUCCCGGUUUAAGCGUGUAGGUGUGUGUUCCAGGUAAAUCCGGUUCACUUUAACACUGAGGCGUGACGACGAGGCACUACGGUGCUGAAGCAACAAAUGCCCUGCUUCCAGGAAAAGCCUCUAAGCAUCAGGUAACAUCAAAUCGUACCCCAAACCGACACAGGUGGUCAGGUAGAGAAUACCAAGGCGCUUGAGAGAACUCGGGUGAAGGAACUAGGCAAAAUGGUGCCGUAACUUCGGGAGAAGGCACGCUGACACGUAGGUGAAGUGAUUUACUCAUGGAGCUGAAGUCAGUCGAAGAUACCAGCUGGCUGCAACUGUUUAUUAAAAACACAGCACUGUGCAAACACGAAAGUGGACGUAUACGGUGUGACGCCUGCCCGGUGCCGGAAGGUUAAUUGAUGGGGUCAGCGCAAGCGAAGCUCCUGAUCGAAGCCCCGGUAAACGGCGGCCGUAACUAUAACGGUCCUAAGGUAGCGAAAUUCCUUGUCGGGUAAGUUCCGACCUGCACGAAUGGCGUAAUGAUGGCCAGGCUGUCUCCACCCGAGACUCAGUGAAAUUGAACUCGCUGUGAAGAUGCAGUGUACCCGCGGCAAGACGGAAAGACCCCGUGAACCUUUACUAUAGCUUGACACUGAACAUUGAGCCUUGAUGUGUAGGAUAGGUGGGAGGCUUUGAAGUGUGGACGCCAGUCUGCAUGGAGCCGACCUUGAAAUACCACCCUUUAAUGUUUGAUGUUCUAACGUGGACCCGUAAUCCGGGUUGCGGACAGUGUCUGGUGGGUAGUUUGACUGGGGCGGUCUCCUCCUAAAGAGUAACGGAGGAGCACGAAGGUUGGCUAAUCCUGGUCGGACAUCAGGAGGUUAGUGCAAUGGCAUAAGCCAGCUUGACUGCGAGCGUGACGGCGCGAGCAGGUGCGAAAGCAGGUCAUAGUGAUCCGGUGGUUCUGAAUGGAAGGGCCAUCGCUCAACGGAUAAAAGGUACUCCGGGGAUAACAGGCUGAUACCGCCCAAGAGUUCAUAUCGACGGCGGUGUUUGGCACCUCGAUGUCGGCUCAUCACAUCCUGGGGCUGAAGUAGGUCCCAAGGGUAUGGCUGUUCGCCAUUUAAAGUGGUACGCGAGCUGGGUUUAGAACGUCGUGAGACAGUUCGGUCCCUAUCUGCCGUGGGCGCUGGAGAACUGAGGGGGGCUGCUCCUAGUACGAGAGGACCGGAGUGGACGCAUCACUGGUGUUCGGGUUGUCAUGCCAAUGGCACUGCCCGGUAGCUAAAUGCGGAAGAGAUAAGUGCUGAAAGCAUCUAAGCACGAAACUUGCCCCGAGAUGAGUUCUCCCUGAGACUUAGAGUCUCCUGAAGGAACGUUGAAGACGACGACGUUGAUAGGCCGGGUGUGUAAGCGCAGCGAUGCGUUGAGCUAACCGGUACUAAUGAACCGUGAGGCUUAACCUUACA
This 2207-nucleotide ribosomal RNA is filed under the name Salmonella enterica. RNAcentral's name for it is "partial 23S ribosomal RNA". It matches the Rfam family "Bacterial large subunit ribosomal RNA", at positions 830 to 2925 of the family's 2925-position model. The record is from RNAcentral. RNAcentral also lists the same sequence under 2 other names. Lineage: Bacteria; Pseudomonadati; Pseudomonadota; Gammaproteobacteria; Enterobacterales; Enterobacteriaceae.